RNAcentral lists this ribosomal RNA (523 nucleotides) under uncultured Glomeromycotina. RNAcentral's name for it is "SSU rRNA". It matches the Rfam family "Eukaryotic small subunit ribosomal RNA", at positions 570 to 1094 of the family's 1831-position model. Lineage: Eukaryota; Fungi; Glomeromycota. The record is from RNAcentral.
GCAGCCGCGGUAAUUCCAGCUCCAAUAGCGUAUAUUAAAGUUGUUGCAGUUAAAAAGCUCGUAGUUGAAUUUCGGGGUUAGUAGGUUGGUCAUGCCUCUGGUAUGUACUGGUCUCACUGAUUCCUCCUUCCUUAUGAACCGUAAUGCCAUUAAUUUGGUGUUGCGGGGAAUUUGGACUGUUACUUUGAAAAAAUUAGAGUGUUUAAAGCAAGCUAACGCUUGAAUACAUUAGCAUGGAAUAAUGAAAUAGGACGUUCGAUCUUAUUUUGUUGGUUUCUAGGAUUGACGUAAUGAUUAAUAGGGAUAGUUGGGGGCAUUAGUAUUCAAUUGUCAGAGGUGAAAUUCUUGGAUUUAUUGAAGACUAACUACUGCGAAAGCAUUUGCCAAGGAUGUUUUCAUUAAUCAAGAACGAAAGUUAGGGGAUCGAAGACGAUCAGAUACCGUCGUAGUCUUAACCAUAAACUAUGCCGACUAGGGAUCGGAUGAUGUUAAUUUUUUAAUGACUCAUUCGGCGCCUUACGGG